CCUCUCUGGGUGGCUUGGCCCUCCUCACAGCAUGGCAAGCCAGGCUCCAGAGAAGCAUCCUGAGGACCAGUGUUCCUAGGGACCUCAUUCUUCUGACCUCAUUCCUACAACGUUUUGUCACUGCAAAGGAAAUCACCAAGGCCAGCUUCAAGGACCACAGAGGGCCAAGUGCAGGAGUAAGAGGCUGGCGUGCUGACAGUGGCCAAGGGCAUUGGAGGGAAGGACCUGUCAUCACUGGGCCAAGGAAGGAACUCCAGACUGCCUACUUCCAGAGGGCCUGCUGAGGAAUUUUAGCUUGAACUUGCCUGCCUUGACUAGGGCUUUCUGAGCAGCAGAUGAUUCUGCAAUGGUGUUAGUCCAGGCCUGGUUCUGCAUGACAUUGACCAUACUGUGCACCCUGGGGUCAUUAUGUCUUGGGCUUCAAGGGGCUCCAUGGGCUCCAGGGGGCUCCAUGUGACACUGCACAGAGCUCUCUCUAGGUCACCUGGAUGUGUCUCUUCCUAGGAACCCCAAAGAGCUCUCUCAACAAACACACCCACGAGUUCCAGGAGUGAGGCUGCAGGGAACAGCCUCACUCUCAGAGGGGAUACAGAAUUGUUCCACUGGACAAGGGCUGGGAUCGUCAUAGGAUGCCGUUGGCCUGUGGUUUCCAACAGAGGUGCAGUUCAUUGAACUGUGGUCUACAGUCCAUUCUCUAACUUGGGGACCCUUGAAGAAGUGUGGAAUCAUGACAACAACCCUGUUGGGAGACACUAUUAUUCCCAUCACAUGGAUGAGCACACGGAGGCAAAAGGAAGUUAUAUGAUUGUCUGAGAUCACCCAGUGAAGACUGUGUGGCUGGGAGUUGUCCCCAGUGUUAUCUGCACGCUGCUUCCUUUUGAUGCCUGGCCCUUCUUUAUCAAAAGAAGCAUUGGCAGAAUCUGGGUGUUUAUGGGUCAGCUCAAAAUAAAUUACUUUAUAUGUCAUUCAUAUUGUUCUUCAUUUCCUGGACAGUAGAAGUCCCCUCCACACCCACUUUCUGUUGUUAGAAGGGGCUUGUCUCAUUGUGAAGAGGUCUUUUCCUCCCGGCUUCCUGGGCUGAUGUAAAUACCCAGAAGAGAACUCCUCCCUUGUCUGGCAGACCAUUGAGGGUGGGAGAGUCGGGUCUGGACCCUGGCGGGUACAGUGGGAUAGAGAGUGGCAGCUGUGAGGCCUUGUCCUCUUCCUGGAGAUGCUUCUUGUGUAGGCCUGGCUUCCAGGGGGCCAGGUGCUGCAGGCCGAAGGCGGAGCUGCCUUGAGCCCCCAGACCAGGCUGAGUCUGCUCUGAGCUGAGUCUAUGCCAUUCAG
This 1326-nucleotide long non-coding RNA is filed under the name Homo sapiens (human). Its description in RNAcentral is "HSALNT0314439". Lineage: Eukaryota; Metazoa; Chordata; Mammalia; Primates; Hominidae. The record is from RNAcentral.